RNAcentral lists this ribosomal RNA (345 nucleotides) under uncultured bacterium. RNAcentral's name for it is "bacterial SSU rRNA". It matches the Rfam family "Bacterial small subunit ribosomal RNA", at positions 28 to 361 of the family's 1533-position model. The record is from RNAcentral.
GAUGAACGCUGGCGGCGUGUCUAAGGCAUGCAAGUCGAACGGACUGUUAUUUGUAGCAAUACUUAGAACAGUUAGUGGCAAACGGGUGCGUAACACAUUGGUAACCUGCCUCAAAGUCGGGCAUAAUCCCGCGAAAGUGGGACUAAUUCCACGAUAGUCAUCGAAGGUGAGAUUCCUUCGAUGUAAAGUCGCAAGACGCUUUGAGAGGGGCCUAUGGCCUAUCAGCUUGUUGGUGAGGUAACGGCUCACCAAGGCUAUGACGGGUAGGGGUGGUGAGAGCAUGACCCCCUCCACUGGGACGUGAGACACUGCCCACGACACCUACGGGUGGCGUGCAGUCGAGAA